Molecule: transfer RNA, 74 nt
Filed under: Microcaldota archaeon
Lineage: Archaea; Nanobdellati; Microcaldota
Description: tRNA-Lys
Rfam family: tRNA
About the family: Transfer RNA (tRNA) molecules are approximately 80 nucleotides in length. Their secondary structure includes four short double-helical elements and three loops (D, anti-codon, and T loops). Further hydrogen bonds mediate the characteristic L-shaped molecular structure. tRNAs have two regions of fundamental functional importance: the anti-codon, which is responsible for specific mRNA codon recognition, and the 3' end, to which the tRNAs corresponding amino acid is attached (by aminoacyl-tRNA synthetases). tRNAs cope with the degeneracy of the genetic code in two manners: having more than one tRNA (with a specific anti-codon) for a particular amino acid; and 'wobble' base-pairing, i.e. permitting non-standard base-pairing at the 3rd anti-codon position.
Source: RNAcentral
GGGCCCGUAGCUCAGUCUGGUAGAGUACUGGACUUUUAAUCCAGGUGUCGCGCGUUCAAAUCGCGUCGGGCCCG